AGCAUAUACAGCUCAUCUUGUCCACAACUCUCAAUAUUUUCUUCAGCCUACUUCCCAAUGCCUGCUAAUCCCUUUUGUCCUUCCCCUCACCCAUUCCCACAUCCUUUUUCUCUUCCAUAUGCCAACAUAUUACCUUGGCUACACAUUUUUUCUCCUGUUUCCUUCUACAAUGCUCUAGUGACAUACUUUCUUGCUAUUUCUCAUCUACAGUCUUACUCUGCACAUCUCAGACCAGCCACGGAGUUUAAGAUAUAAUUAAGAUACCCACCUAUGUGGAGGAUGACCACGUGAAGGAGGUCAGUUUAGCACAUGAAGGCUCUCCAGUGCAACACGUGCCACAGUGUAUCACCAGGCAUAAAUCUCACAGAAAGAGCAAGGAACACAACAUACAAUUGCAGCUGAUCUACAUCUCACAGCAUCAUAGAAUGGUUGGGGUUGGAAGGGACCUCUGGAGGCCAUCUGGUCCAACCCUUGUGCUCAAGCAGUGUCACCCAGAGCAGCUCUAAGAGGACAAGAAGGCCUUAAUAGGUCAACAACCACAACCAUCUCUUCAAGUUGCAGGAGAAAUGAUUGUCAUAGAAGUUCUUACCUUACAUAAGAAGUAGAAUCCUGUACACGCUAACUCCACGUAAAUCCUUGCAAGGAGGAAUCCUGUACAGCCCUCAAUAAAUGGGCUUGAAAUAGCAUAACUACUUCCUCUUAAGUGUCAGUUCUCCCCUAUGCUAGGGUGUUCUGUAAUACUUCCUCAUUUGGUAUUGUACAACUGCAGGAAGAUACGAAGCAAGACUUACACCAGCCAACUUUUUUUCUGCUCUUCUUCAAGAAGCUUGAGGCUAGAGAUAGUCAUAGAAAUAUUAAAAUGAACCAAUAUUUUACAAUGUUUAUGUAUUACAUAGCAGUUAUAGAGUCUUGGAACCACAGUAAAGCAAAAUUAAGUAUUAGAAAUUAACACUAUUCUGAAAUUAGAUUUGUUUACUACGGAAUCAAAGCUCAUGCUAACAUGCUGCCUACACGCAUUCUGUGAGAAGCUGUAGGUAUUCACUACUAGUCUAUUAAAAAUUACCCACAGCUGGCUGCUUCUCAAAGCAUAUUAGAAAGGCAAGUUACCAGAAGGUGGGCCAACAGGAUACAGACUCGUGGUUGUUUUCUACAUGGAUUCUGAUUUUAAAUAAGAACUCAGCUGUCUCAUUAAGCUACAACUGCAGCCUAAGUCAAAGUACCCAUCAGAUACCCACUGGAAACCCAAACUUCAGUAGUUUCAGAACUCGUGAAGGUUUUUCUUCCUCCAUGCAACAGGAACUCUCAUGGAAAGUAGAUUUUUUGUCACUAAGAAUAAGAACAUGUUUCCAUUUCAUUUAUCAGUGUGCAACAAGUAAAAAAAGUUAUGGAAAGGUGCAACUUAAAUCUUUAUAUACAGUAUGAACAAUAGCUUUAUUACUUAGAAUAUGAAACUAAGCAGCCCCAAAUUCAAGACAUUUUGAUAUUUCUUCAUUCUUUUUCCUGAAUUUUUGCAUCUAAACCCAGAUCUUCAGAGUCAAUAUUGUUCUAACAAUUAUUGCUGUAAUAACAUGAUGCAAGUUUUCUUGUGGUCAUUGUUUCACAUUCGUGAUAUGAAUCCAACCACAUGCUCCUCAGCACUGGAAAGAAUAAAGACAACGGAAGACAUUUGAAUCCAACAGUAGUUUAUUACGCUCAUUGCAGAUGAAGUUAGAUACUUCACUUACUAGUAAAUACAAGUUUAAAUAUUAGUUGACAACCGCAGAAAGUAUACAAAUACAAAAGUCAUCAACAAUAACAAAAACAUUCUAAUGUAUUAACUUUUACACAUCAGUUGUAUCUUAUUAUACAGCAACCACUAUAUGAUCCUCAACCAAAAUCAGGGCUUGCACUUGAAAGCAUUUUUUUGUUUUGUUUAGAAUAAAAGUUCUCCAAGAGGUUGAGAGACUGGGGGGUUACAACUGCACUAUUUCCCAAAAUACUAUCAACAUAUAGCCGUACCUAAUACAAAGCUUUUUUAUAUUUUAUGGAUAUUUGCUUUUAACAGGGAAUGCAGUAACAAGAAAAAUAUAUGCAUAUAUUUUUUAAAAAAACUAAACAGCAGUAUGCACUAUUUUAUAUAUAUGUGUAUCUAUACUGUAUUACAGAUUUCAUAUAAAUCAAGUAUAGGCCAAAUUUUGGCAUAAUUUUAAGUGCAUUAAGUUUAAUACAAAAUCCCCCUCAGUCUUUGCUCUUACUUUUAAAGCUACCUGUUACUGAAUUCUCCUUUUCAGGUACGGUAUUUUAAAUGUCUGUCUUAAAACUCAUUUUCAUUUCUGGCAUAUCAGCCUUGACUUCCAAACAAAAUAAAUUUGUCAGAAAAAGCUCAGUGACUAAUUUAGUCACAAAGUUUAGUCUAGACUGAUAGGGCAUAUUAUUUACACUUACCAAUCACUUUAAGGUAGUUGUAUUCUCCUCUGUACCCCUUCAUUCUGUUAAAUGGACACUUACUAAUAUGCAAAUUAUUUCAGGUGCAGAACUAAGCACAAAACACAUUUUGUAAUGCAUAGAAAAUUCGAUUCAACUCCAGCAUGCAGUUAGAAUUAGAGAACACCUAAAAAGCAAUAUCCUCUCUACCAUGAUGCCUUUCUUUGUUUCCAAAUUAAGUUUUGUUUGCCCUUGUUUCACAAAGUAUUACAGAAAGAAAACAACUUAGUGACCCAACUAAUCCAUUUGACAAAGACAGUAUUUACAGUAAAUUUUAAAUAGGCUUGUAUAUUUUUUGCAGAAACAAAAAUACCACUUAAGCUUUACACUAGAAUAAAGUCCUGGCAUGAAGUCAUUCAAUGAGAAUUCCUCCCACAUAAAAAGUCAAAGUUUCCUCAAAGUCAUUUGUAGAAUAUAGCAGUAAAUUGUAUAACCCAGAAACAUUCUACAUCUAAGGAAAACAGCGCAAACAAUUACAGAAAAUUAAUCCCCCAAGAAUUAACUCUCCUGCCAACAUUUCAUCUACUAGCAUUCAGUGAUCUUGUUAUUCAGCACCACUAUGGUACAGAGGAAAAAGUAUCUAUCAAUUGCUGCAAAUGUACAAGCAGUUCCAGCGACUAAGAAACAUCUUCCAAGGUAAGCCCUUUAAAAGUCCUGUAUAAACUGGGCUAAGUGAUUUUAAAAAGAACAGUCCCUUACAAAGUAAGUCACUUAAUGCACAGUGUUUCAUGGAUGCACAUCAGACUGUGGACACGACCUUCAGGGUUCACUCUCAAUGAAAUGAAGAACUAGGUGCAGAACUCCCAGCAAAGUUAGUGGGGGUUAGACAACAAUGCCCCCCUCAUACACUUGAAGUAUUAAAUAUUUUAUAUAUUGCAUGUCAAUCUCCCUUCUUUUGUACUGAGAAAGCAAACGCUGAAAUAGAAACAACUUUUAACACAGCAGAUGUAUUUACUUACAGCAUGCAAGGUUUGUUUUAUGUAUUUGAGCAGCUAACAGCCACUAACAGCCCUUAAGUAUUUACAAGUUCAAACCAACAAUCUUCACAUAAGUAGCAAUUGCUUACAAGCAGCUCAGGACACUCCCCAGGAAAUAAGCAAGAAAUGUGUAAAGAACACAGUGAAAGCAUAGUAAAAAUCGAGUAGCAAAGGAAAAUAUGCCAGCUUUUAAAAUCCAGACAAUCUAACACUGUUCUAGUAGAAAACAAAACUACACAUCGCAUUUAAAGAUACCAUUUUUAAAGAAAUGCAUCUUUUUAGUUGGUGUCUGUCCCCUCACCCCGAGAAAAGCUGUAUGUGAGCUUAAGAAAAAAGUUUCUAAGUAAGUUUCUUAAAAAAAAAAAAAUCUCCCUUUGGUUUGCCAAAUUACCUUGAUUUUCUUUUUUAAAUUUGCAAGAUAAGUAAUAAGGCAAAUGUGAUCAGAGGCUGAAGGGCUUCACGGGUGAUGACAUGAAAGAAAGAUGCUUCAACCCCAGUUCACAGAACGGGAAGCAAAAGCAAGAGUUUUAUUGUAAACACGAAACUUUUUUCGUAAGACUAGGCUGCAGAACUUAACCCAAGAUGCAAUGCCUAUGUUAGUCUAUUUGAGGGCCAGGUCAGGAAAAAAGCUUCUCUCAUGGCUUAAGGCAGUCUAAGACUAAAUUCCUGUCUCUUCAGCCUCUUGGAAAACAGAACUUAUUGCCAAAUUACAUUCUAUGCUAAUGUUAGUUUCAGUUUUGUAUUUCACACAGUAAUUACAUAAAACAAAUUUAUCUCAUAUCUUUUUGUAAUAAGUGUGUAUCCCUAUCUGCUUCAAUAAUAUGGUAUUUCUACCUUCAGGACUCUAUGAAUUGCAAUUAAUAAAGUUCACUGUGACAUGAAUAAUGUUUUUGCACCACUUCACGAGAGGUUUCAAGUGUGUUAUCCUUCUGAAAAGACAUUUAACUACAUUUUUAAAGCUAUGUUAAAUUUAGUUAUAAAUAAUUUGGCAGCAGCUGAUGCUCACACUGGAAACAUUUUUUCAUGUCCAACUCUAGCAAUAGCUUAGGGAAAAAGUGCUCUAGUUUUACCUGUUUUGUUAUGACUGAUUUGGAGAAAUCUUAUUAACCAAACAUUUAUUAAAAUAAAUAUAUCUCUUUUUUUAAUUUUUGUAGUUUUACAAUUCUUUACUCUGUAACAGUAAUUUACAUUGCACGAUAUUUUGUGCUAAACUGCCCUCUUGAGCCAAGUCCUUUAUAAAACAUGAAAAUAGAAUAGUAAAAGUUAUUCACGUAAACUACAGCGAAGUAGUUGCAGUCUUACAAAUAGGGUUGUAAAGGUGCUGGAUAAACCAACAUUCUGAUAUGUAUUUCCUGCAGACUAAACAAUGUGGUACACAACGCGUGACAUUUUGAAGUUACCCAACGUAAUGUAUAAAAAUAUAAAAUAUUAUAUAUUUGAGUAACAGUAGAACAAGCUACAGUGCAAUUUUCCUUAACCCAGUGAAAGCCCUACCUAUUUUUUCCCCACCCAUUCUACAUUUUCCACAAUAGGUUUUCUUUUCCAUUAAUAGUACAACAGAGCAAGCGCAGCUAGAGAAGACAUUUAAGAACACACUAAUUCUGUAAACCUGAAGUUCCUAGAAAUCAAAUACGUACCUUAAAAAAAUGAGAUUUGUUGACCCAUCCUUUCUGUGCUACAAUUUAAACAUUCUUCACUAUAAAAUGUAAAACUAAGAUAUUUACUAUGCCCUAAAUUUCAGAGAAAAUCAUCCCAUCGCUUUUAUCAGACUUCAGACUAAUGUAAUUUGGAACUACAAACACUUGCUCAGGGCUUUAAACAUAAGACAUUUUGUGUACAUUCCUCCCAGCUAUUUAUACAACAACUACCUUAGUGCACAAAGCCAAACCAGUGGAAAUCCCUCUCUCAAAAACCUGGAAACGAAUUUAUCUUUUACUACACAUUCAGCAUAAAACUGCAAUAAAGGAACAGACAGAAAAUAGCUAGCUUGUUUCAGUGCAUAUUUCUGUUUUUGAUUUUCUCCUAUAAGGUAAAAUCUUUUCAACUAUAAAAGUUGUUUAACACACUUCAGUUCUUUUGAAUACAUUCAUAGCAGUGAAUUCUGAAUGCACAUCAGGAAGUCAGAUUUUCACAUCUAAUAGGAGUGUACAAUAACUUUGCUUUGAGAAAAGACAGGAAUGGGAAGGUUUUAAUUUACAAAUUAAUAAUUUGGAGCUCAUAAUUCCAACAGAAAAAGACUUUUGAUUCCAAAUAAUUUGUAAGAAAAUGUAAGCUUUGUAUUCUAACUAUAUUAUUCCCUAUACUUCCUAUCCAAAUUGUUUUUUUUCUGGGAAAAAAAAGAAAAUGCACUGAUACAAAAACAACAGUAAUUACUGUCUGGCCAAA
This is a long non-coding RNA of Cygnus olor (mute swan), 5825 nucleotides long. RefSeq lists it as uncharacterized. Lineage: Eukaryota; Metazoa; Chordata; Aves; Anseriformes; Anatidae. The record is from RefSeq and is a predicted model, not a curated record. The transcript is spliced from 3 exons.